Ribosomal RNA from Neurospora crassa OR74A, 1516 nucleotides. The record is from RefSeq and is a predicted model, not a curated record. Lineage: Eukaryota; Fungi; Ascomycota; Sordariomycetes; Sordariales; Sordariaceae.
UCUAUAUUAUUAUAAUUAUAUAGCAGGUUUUUACUAUAAAACCCCCUAUUUCUAAAAUUAACUUCGAAUUAAAUAAAAAUACCCGCUAAAUUUAAAUAUAUUAAUAAAUAGAAGAAAAGAAACUAAUAGGGAUUACCCUAAUAAUAGCAAAUAAAGUAGUAAUAGUUCAAAUUUAAAAUCUAACUUCGGCCCGAAUUAUAAUUUAUAGAAGAAGCUUUUAGUAAAGCACUUUUUAAAUCCCUUAGAACAGAGCGCUAUAGAGGGUAAAAGCCCUAUAUAGUUGGAUGCCGAUCUAAUAUAAAGUUCCUUUAAUAAAUUAAAUAAUUUAGGAAUACUAUUUAAAAUAGGAGGUAAAUUUCUUCUAAAAUUAAAUACCGGCUAGAGAUUAAUAGCGUAUAAGUAGAAUAAUUAAAAAAUAAAAAAUAUUUUAAAAAGAGGAUUAAAUAGUAUGUAAAAUUAUUAAAAGGGAAGCGUUUAUAAUUAGACUUAUACUAUUCUAAUUAUUUAAUAUUUUUACCAGUAUAUUUAGGAUAGUUUAAAUUAGCAUCGGUUUUAGUAGGGGGAUAAAAGUCCGAGGAACGUAGCUCCUCUAGGAGUAUUAUAACCCCGGGCGUAAUACCUUUACUAGGACUAAAGUUCGCGCAUUUAUAAGGAUAUUAGCGUAAUAGUUAUUAAUAACCUAUUUUAAAAUACGGAUUAAAGAAUCAAAGUUUUACACAAAUAUUUAGGUAUAAAAUCCGUAUGUAUAAUAAAAGUAAAUGUAAGUAAGAACUUCGGCGUAUUAUCGACCGAUCUUAAUAUAUUCGAAUAAAUUUAAAUAAAAAUAUUAAACCUUAAACUUAAAAGAUAGUAAAUUAUAUUUAGAUAGGGUGAAGCUAAAGGAAAUUCUAGUAGAAGUUUGUAAUAAUUUUAACAUACAAAUCGAUUAUUAAAUUUAAGUAUAGGAGCGAAAGAUUAAUCGAAUUAUUUAGUAAUUAAUUACUACCGAAAUUUCCCUUAGGAUAAUAGUAUUAUUCUUUAGUUUUAUAAAGUAAAGCGAAUAAUUAAGGACUCGGGGGCGCUUUUUAACCUUUAUCUAUUUUUAAAUUUUAAAUAUAUAAGAAGCCCUUAUUAUUUAAUUAAACGUAGGUAUUCAAAUAUACUAAUAUUAGUAGGCUAUUUUUAGUAAAUAAAAUUAGUAAUAUAAAAUAAAUUAAAUACAGGGUUAAAGUACUAGAGUAGAUGCUUAUUAAAUACUAUAAAAAGCGUUAGUAUAUUUUAAUAGUAGGACGGUGGUUAUAAAAGUCGGAAUCCGCUAAAGACUAUAUAAUAAUUCACCUACCGAAUAUAUUAGCCCUAAAAAUAGAUAGUAUUUAAGCGUUCCACCUAUACCCCGCCCUUAGGGUAGAAAUAAUACUCUAAGGAGUAGGUGGUUGUAGAGGUUAGUAACGAAGCCUAGGGUAUAAGCCCGGGUUGAAUGGCCUCUAAUAUAGAUUUUAAUAGUAGUAGUAAAUAUUUUAAUAAGAAUUUAAAGGAU